This is a long non-coding RNA of Salvia miltiorrhiza (redroot sage), 329 nucleotides long. RefSeq lists it as uncharacterized. The record is from RefSeq and is a predicted model, not a curated record. NCBI's taxonomy places the organism in Eukaryota, Viridiplantae, Streptophyta, Magnoliopsida, Lamiales, Lamiaceae. The transcript has 2 exons.
UAUAUAUAUAUAUAUAUAUAUAUAUAUAUAUAUAUAUUCCUUACUUAUUUUUCUUACAAAAAGAUGUUUAUCUAUUUAAAGGUUCCGGCUAGGAACGAGCCUGACACUAGAGUUCGAAGUAAGAGAAACAUAUCAGGUUAAGUUUGGAUGAAGAUGGAAGUGUGCUGAGCUGGAACUUUUUGUUUAUGUAAAUAGUAAUAGGCUCAGGAUGUUGUAUCUUCAUACAUAAUGUCCAAUGAUGUAAUCCGCUGCAACACAUUAUUUCUCUUAUCACUUUUCACGUGUUGUAGAAUGUUUUAAAACCUUAACCUGUAUAUGAGCUUGAUAAA